RNAcentral lists this ribosomal RNA (834 nucleotides) under Pseudomonas sp. RNAcentral describes it as "bacterial SSU rRNA". It matches the Rfam family "Bacterial small subunit ribosomal RNA", at positions 34 to 865 of the family's 1533-position model. The record is from RNAcentral. Lineage: Bacteria; Pseudomonadati; Pseudomonadota; Gammaproteobacteria; Pseudomonadales; Pseudomonadaceae.
CGCUGGCGGCAGCUAACACAUGCAAGUCGAGCGGUAGAGAGAAGCUUGCUUCUCUUGAGAGCGGCGGACGGGUGAGUAAUACCUAGGAAUCUGCCUGAUAGUGGGGGAUAACGUUCGGAAACGGACGCUAAUACCGCAUACGUCCUACGGGAGAAAGCAGGGGACCUUCGGGCCUUGCGCUAUCAGAUGAGCCUAGGUCGGAUUAGCUAGUUGGUGAGGUAAUGGCUCACCAAGGCUACGAUCCGUAACUGGUCUGAGAGGAUGAUCAGUCACACUGGAACUGAGACACGGUCCAGACUCCUACGGGAGGCAGCAGUGGGGAAUAUUGGACAAUGGGCGAAAGCCUGAUCCAGCCAUGCCGCGUGUGUGAAGAAGGUCUUCGGAUUGUAAAGCACUUUAAGUUGGGAGGAAGGGCAUUAACCUAAUACGUUAGUGUUUUGACGUUACCGACAGAAUAAGCACCGGCUAACUCUGUGCCAGCAGCCGCGGUAAUACAGAGGGUGCAAGCGUUAAUCGGAAUUACUGGGCGUAAAGCGCGCGUAGGUGGUUUGUUAAGUUGAAUGUGAAAUCCCCGGGCUCAACCUGGGAACUGCAUCCAAAACUGGCAAGCUAGAGUAUGGUAGAGGGUAGUGGAAUUUCCUGUGUAGCGGUGAAAUGCGUAGAUAUAGGAAGGAACACCAGUGGCGAAGGCGACUACCUGGACUGAUACUGACACUGAGGUGCGAAAGCGUGGGGAGCAAACAGGAUUAGAUACCCUGGUAGUCCACGCCGUAAACGAUGUCAACUAGCCGUUGGGAGUCUUGAACUCUUAGUGGCGCAGCUAACGCAUUAAGU